AUGUGGCGGUGCGCCCGCCCCUUCCGCCGCGUCGCCACUGCAAUCCAACGGCAGCCACGGCCCGCUGCGGCAGGGGUGAAGCAGUGCACGCCCGGAGGCGUCACGCGCAUCUCGGCGCUGCAGGGCUCGAGGGUCUCCGGCGAGAUGUCCACCCGGAAGACGCUCCACCAGCCGUCAUCGGCGACGCGGUGGAAGAACACCGUGCCCUCCCCGUGCCAGGUCGGCCAGCCGCCCCGAGCAGCGAGGACGACGCGGCGGGCGGGGUCGGCGGCACGGAAGACGGCGACCUCCGUCUCGAGCACGUGGAAGUCGAACGCCCACGGCCUCUCGCCGUACGAGGCGACGGCGAGGAGCUCGCCGGACGCGGACACUGCGGGGCUCAUGUCCGCCACGCCCCGAGGCGUCACCCGCACCGUCUCCUCGCUGCCAAGGUCCGUCGUGUACACCGCCGCCCAGCUCCUGAACCACCCAUCCGGCUUCUCGUGCGCGGAGACGAAGUACAGCCGGCCGCCCCUCACGGUGGGGCGGUCGUGGAACAGGCUCCCCUCCACGGCCGGCAGCGGCACGGCGCGCUCGGACCCGGGGCGGCACAGGAACAGGCCCGCCGAGCCGGUGCGCUCGGACACGAACGCCACCUCCUCGCCGCCGUCGUCCUUGAACUGGGCGUUGAAGUUGACGGACACGCCGUCCGUGUGGCGGCGCUCCGCCAGCCCCGCGGCGGAUGCGCUCUCGGGAGUCUGCGGGGCGGCGACGGAGAAGACGUCGAAGCCGAAGCUGGUGACCCCGACGGAGGCGAACACGAUCGUGCCGGUAGGCUCGCGGCCGGGCUCCAUGAUCGGUGAGACGGCGUGUGGCUGGUUGAGUCGAGCUGUGCUGCUGGCGCUUGUCGCUUGUAGCUUGUCGGGGUGUGUGAUCGAGGUGUGUGACUGGGUGGAGCGUGGCGGUAUUUGUAGGUUCGCGGCGAGACUUAUCUGCGGGUGGUUGGCUUGUCGGAUCACUCCACUGUCCACUCCGUGA
This 1017-nucleotide ribosomal RNA is filed under the name Triticum aestivum (bread wheat). Its description in RNAcentral is "partial small subunit ribosomal RNA". The record is from RNAcentral. Lineage: Eukaryota; Viridiplantae; Streptophyta; Magnoliopsida; Poales; Poaceae.